Molecule: ribosomal RNA, 1250 nt
Filed under: Sterigmatobotrys uniseptata
Lineage: Eukaryota; Fungi; Ascomycota; Sordariomycetes; Pleurotheciales; Pleurotheciaceae
Description: partial large subunit ribosomal RNA
Rfam family: Eukaryotic large subunit ribosomal RNA
Source: RNAcentral
UUUGAAAUCUGACCCUCGGGUCCGAGUUGUAAUCUGCAGAUGAGUCUUUUGGUGGAGCGCCGUCCAAGUUCCCUGGAAUGGGACGCCGGAGAGGGUGAGAGCCCCGUACCGACGUGCGCCGAGCCUCUGCAAAGCUCAUUCGACGAGUCGAGUAGUUUGGAAAUGCUGCUCUAAUCGUGGGGUAAAUCUCCCAUAAGGCUAAAUACUGGCCAGAGACCGAUAGCGCACAAGUAGCGUGAGCGAAAGAUGAAAAGAGCCUUGAAUAAGGGCGUCAAAAAGCAUGUGAAAUUGUUGUGGGGGAAGCGCUCAACGCCAGACGUGGCGGCGGUUGGUUACCCGGCGUUCUUCGCCGGCGCACUCGGCCGUCGCCAGGCCAGCAUCAGUUCGGCCUGGGGCUUACUGCCGUGGGGAAUGUGGCCCUUCGGGGUGUUAUAGCCUCGCGGAGACGUCCUGGGCCGGACUGAGGAACGCGCAUCUGCCCGGAUGCUGGCGUAAUGGCUUUUAGCGACCCGUCUUGAAACACGGACCAAGGAGUUGACCUAGCCCGCGAGUGUUUGGGUGUCAAGCCCUCACGCGCAGUGAAAGCGAACGCUGGUGGGAGCCUUUUCGGCGCACCAUCGACCGAUCCUGAAGUUCACGGAUGGAUUUGAGUAGGAGCGUGCUGGGUCUGACCCGAAAGAAGGUGAACUAUGCAUGAAUAGGGUGAAGCCAGAGGAAACUCUGGUGGAGGCUCGCAGCGGUUCUGACGUGCAAAUCGAUCGUCAAAUUUGUGCAUGGGGGCGAAAGACCAAUCGAACCUUCUAGUAGCUGGUUCCUGCCGAAGUUUCCCUCAGGAUAGCAGAGUUGAUCCCUCAGUUUCAUGAGGUAAAGCGAAUGAUUAGAGACUCGGGGGCGCUCUUCAGCCUUCAUCUAUUCUCAAACUUUAAAUAUGUGAGAAGCCUCGUGUUACUUCGGUGAACGCAGGCCUUUGAAUGUAUCAACUCUAGUGGGCCAUUUUUGGUAAGCAGAACUGGCGAUGUGGGAUGAACCAUACGGGGGUUUAAGGUGCCGGAGUGGACGCUCAUCAGACACCACAAAAGGUGUUAGCACAUCUUGACAGCAGGACGGUGGCCAUGGAAGUCGGAAUCCGCUAAGGACUGUGUAACAACUCACCUGCCGAAUGUGCUAGCCCUGAAAAUGGAUGGCGCUAAGCGUCCCACCUAUAACCCCCCCUCGGGGCAGGAUCGUCGCCCCGAGGAGUAGGCAGGCGC